GGCAGCACAGGUAGCAAUACCGGGUGGCGACCGGCGCACGGGUGAGUAACGCGUAUGCAACUUGCCUAUCAGAGGGGGAUAACCCGGCGAAAGUCGGACUAAUACCGCAUGAAGCAGGGAUCCCGCAUGGGGAUAUUUGCUAAAGAUUCAUCGCUGAUAGAUAGGCAUGCGUUCCAUUAGGCAGUUGGCGGGGUAACGGCCCACCAAACCGACGAUGGAUAGGGGUUCUGAGAGGAAGGUCCCCCACAUUGGUACCGAGACACGGACCAAACUCCUACGGGAGGCAGCAGUGAGGAAUAUUGGUCAAUGGGCGUAAGCCUGAACCAGCCAAGUCGCGUGAGGGAUGAAGGUUCUAUGGAUCGUAAACCUCUUUUAUAAGGGAAUAAAGUGCGGGACGUGUCCCGUUUUGUAUGUACCUUAUGAAUAAGGAUCGGCUAACUCCGUGCCAGCAGCCGCGGUAAUACGGAGGAUCCGAGCGUUAUCCGGAUUUAUUGGGUUUAAAGGGUGCGUAGGCGGCCUUUUAAGUCAGCGGUGAAAGUCUGUGGCUCAACCAUAGAAUUGCCGUUGAAACUGGGGGGCUUGAGUAUGUUUGAGGCAGGCGGAAUGCGUGGUGUAGCGGUGAAAUGCAUAGAUAUCACGCAGAACCUCGAUUGCGAAGGCAGCCUGCCCAGCCAUUACUGA
This 681-nucleotide ribosomal RNA is filed under the name uncultured bacterium. RNAcentral describes it as "bacterial SSU rRNA". It matches the Rfam family "Bacterial small subunit ribosomal RNA", at positions 68 to 743 of the family's 1533-position model. The record is from RNAcentral.